This 87-nucleotide transfer RNA is filed under the name Actinoplanes derwentensis. RNAcentral's name for it is "tRNA_Leu_TAG". It matches the Rfam family "tRNA". Rfam says of the family: Transfer RNA (tRNA) molecules are approximately 80 nucleotides in length. Their secondary structure includes four short double-helical elements and three loops (D, anti-codon, and T loops). The record is from RNAcentral. Lineage: Bacteria; Bacillati; Actinomycetota; Actinomycetes; Micromonosporales; Micromonosporaceae.
GCGGAAGUGGCGAAAUAGGCAUACGCGCGGGUUUUAGGUACCCGUGCCCGAGAGGGCGUGAGGGUUCAAGUCCCUUCUUCCGCACCG